RNAcentral lists this long non-coding RNA (759 nucleotides) under Cyanistes caeruleus (blue tit). RNAcentral's name for it is "lncRNA (ENSCCEG00000001349.1)". The record is from RNAcentral. Lineage: Eukaryota; Metazoa; Chordata; Aves; Passeriformes; Paridae.
AAUUAGGGAUCAACUCAUCAAAAAGGACCUUGGGGGGGGAAAUUUGGGGGGUCUCACUCUGGAUUUUGGGGUUUUUGGGGUUGUCAAUCAAAAUUUUGGGGUCGUUUUUUAGGAUUUUGGGGCUCGAAGUGGGCGGGGCCCCGAGGAAUUCACCGGGAUUGGGAUUUGGGGUUUGGAUUUGGGGAUUUUGGGGUCAAUUGUUGGGAUUUUGGGGUCGGUUAUUGGGAUUUUGGGAUUUUGGGGUCAAUUGUUGGGAUUUUGGGGUCAUUUAUUGGGAUUUUGGGGUUUUUGGGGUCAGCUAUUGAGAUUUUGGUGUUUUUGGGGACGUUGAUGCAGAUUUUGGGGUCAUUUAUUGGGAUUUCGGGGUCGGUUAUUGAGAUUUUGGGGUCAUUUAUUGGGAUUUUGGGGUCUGUACAGGGAUUUUGGGGUCAGUUCUUGGGAUUUUGGGGUCAGUUCUUGGGAUUUUGGGGUCUGUACAGGGAUUUUGGGGUCAGUUCUUGGGAUUUUGGGGUUUUUGGGGUCGGUUAUUGAGAUUUUGGGGUCAUUUAUUGGGAUUUUGGGGUCAGUUCUUGGGAUUUUGGGGUUUUUGGGGUCAGUUAUUGAGAUUUCGGGGUCAUUUAUUGGGAUUUUGGGGUCGGUUAUUGAGAUUUUCGUGUUUUUGGGGACGUUGAUGCAGAUUUUGGGGUCGGUUAUUGGGAUUUUGGGGUCAAUUGUUGGGAUUUUGGGGUCAUUUAUUGGGAUUUUGGGGUCAGUUGUUGG